Penaeus indicus is the source of this 3156-nucleotide long non-coding RNA. RefSeq lists it as uncharacterized. NCBI's taxonomy places the organism in Eukaryota, Metazoa, Arthropoda, Malacostraca, Decapoda, Penaeidae. The record is from RefSeq and is a predicted model, not a curated record. The transcript is spliced from 2 exons.
CACAGCACGAUGUCCUUCUACCUCCUGGUGAACAACAAAUCCUUGGUGUCCCUGUCGAGGACGCUCUCCGAGGUGUACAGGGAGUGCCAUGACGACGACGGCUUCCUCUACGUCACCUACGCCAGUCAGGAGGUCUUCGGGUAAAGGCUAGUGGCUGUACUGAUAAUUGCCUGUACUUCUGUGAUACACCUCUUCCGCCUCUGCUCAAAGGGAAAGCUCCUGCAACAGCCGCGGCACAAUUUCGCUCCUCAUUCCUGUUGUCAGGAGCUGUUGCAUUUCUUGCAGAUGUUGAGACUUCCUUUUGUACAUGUAUUUAUAUAUACAUAUACAUAUUUGUUAGAUAUAUUUGGAUACCAGGUAAAGACCUUUUUGCUCAAUGUCUUUAUAUGUCAUUUUCUGAGUGAUGCAUAUGGAAAUGCAGUUGUUUGAAUCCAAAGAAGAGUAUAUAGUUGAAGAAAAGGAAGCUCAUGUUUGAUCAUUGCCAAAAAGAGGGGAAAAAUGUUAAAAAAAAAAAAAUUCUAUAUGGUUGUGGUGAAUGAUUACUUGUAGUAAAAUCUCUCUUGUCUUGUACGUUUUCAGAGCUUGAAUAAUGAGAGGAAAGAUCAAAUUAUGACCUUGAAACACUUCAUUUUAAUGCAGAGAUGGACUGUCAUGCUCCAGAUUUAGUGAAAUUUACCAUUCACCCAUUUUUAAAUUACAACUUCUAUUUAGUUCCUGGAUAUUUCAUGUCUAAAACAAUGAUGUAUUGGAUACAUGCUUGAAGAUUUCCCUGUUAGGAUGUGUCAAUGAAUCUCUUAAAAAGGUACUAUGUUAUUCAAUACAUUAUUUUUUUCAUUCUUGCCUAGAACUAAGGAGCUGCAUGACGCUUUAUUUUUCAAAAGUUAAAGGCAUAAUUGGAGUUUUUAUUCCCAUAACUUCCUGGUCUGAAAUUCUUGAACAGUCUUUUAUUUACUUGUUUUAAAGUGUUUGACUGUUGAGAUGAAAAGGAAAGUACAAAGACAAUUAUUAUUUGAUAUGCAAGUUCAGGAGGUAUUGUGUACCUAUCUUCAGAUAUACAUGUAUUAAAUCAUAUGCAAAGGAAAAAAAAAGGAAAAAAAUCCUGUUUUGGAUGUAUACAUGUACACAAGGUAAUUGGUAAUCAACAAAUUUUAAAAGUUAUUGAACAAGGAAAAAAUAAUUGUAUUUACUGUUAUGCAAGUAUUUGGACUGUUACUUAAUGUUAAUUAAUUUACAGAAUUAAUCAAGUUUAAUUGAUUGCCAAUUCCCUUCUGUUACAUUCCUAAUGUAUUAAUUUUCGUAUUCUUUAUUUGUAUUGUAUCCAUCAUACAAAGCCUGAUUUGUUAUUUUCAAAUAGAUUAUAUAGAAAAAUAGAGACACUGAGGAAUUAUUACCAUUUUUUUUCUUAUCAUUUUGCCAUGAGCCUGACAACCAAUUAACCAGUGUAUGAUAAGAGAUUUGCUAGGACUAUCAUCAUGUGUUGACCUAUUGUCUGUGCCAUUUGUAUUUCUCGCUAAUCUUGCGUAUUUGAGAGAAAGUGCAGAGAAAAGAAGGGAAAGGUUAGGUUUAAGGCGUGAUGAGAACAGCUUCUUGUAGGGGGGUCCAAUACAGCAGUAUUUGAGCUUUAUUAUUAUUUAUAUAUUAUUUUUUAUUUUAUUUUAUUUUUUCCCCUUUAUUAUUAUUAUUAUUAUUAUAUGCCAAUAAGGCUCGUGAUUUAUGAUGAUUUCACUGGCUGGACGGACCAACAUACACAUAGAUCUCAGGGCACUUUGGGGCUGCUGUUCUAUUAUUGAAUAUAUUUGCUAGUUUAAGGUAUUUUUUAAUCUGUUUUUUACUUGGACACAGAGAGUUUAUGAACUGAAAAUUUUGAGUUUUUGACGAGACAAUAUCUGGUUUUGAGCCGUAUUCAUGAUUUCCAAGUAAAUUCCAGUUUUUAGCUGAACUGGUGCUUUAUUGACUAACAGUUUCUGAUCUGUACUAAAAUUCCAUAUUUUGCCGGAAUUUUAGAGUAUAGCUAAUGGAAAAUUUGAGAGGUGCUUUGAUAUAUUUUAAAUCAUUUUAGAGUAAAAUAUAAUUAUUUGAUUCUUAAGAGAUAUAUCUUUAUAGUUUAAAUAAAAAAUUGCUGGAAUUCAGUGUACACAAAUAAUUAUUAGUAAGCAGGAAAUAAAAUCCUUGAAGUGUACGUGCUGAAAGUUGAUAUUAAAGAUAGGUUACAAAAAGCAUUCAAAAGGUGAUUCCUACGAGAGAACUUUUGCUGAUAUCCAAGUAACCUACAGUUUUGGUUAAUGCUUACCCAUUUGCUCUUCUGUAUUGUAUAAAUAUAAGAAAUGGCAUAUUUACGAAUUUUGAUUUAUGUGCAGAAUUGUUUUAGAUUUCACCUAUGUGUAUUCUUACAUAAAUAAAGUUAAUAUUCAGCAGUCUUCAUUUCCUUGUCUUUAAAAUCUGCUACAUACAUGGUGAAAAGACAUCUUACAAAGUGAAGAGAGAUCAAGGUAUACCAAACUAUAAGUACCUAUAUGCAUAAUCACAAACCAAUGUAGAAUUACAAACUAUAUAUUGUCUAGAUGAAACAAGAUGGAAGUCCAUUUCAUCUCCUGGAAGAAAUCUAAAAAUGCAAAAACUGAACAGAUAUUCUAAGUAUCAAAGAUUUCAUAGUAGUCCACUUAAACUCCUUGAUUUUUUUUAUUCUGUUUUAAGAAAAUUAUAUUAUGGUUGAGGCAAUAGUCAACUGUACUAACUUAAUUGCUGUAGAUACUCCAUAAACUACUCAAAACAGAAUUUUACAUUAGUAGAUUUUUUUUCUAUAUACUUCCAUUUCGCUGGCAAAUCCUUGGAAUGAGAGGAAUGGAGGACUAAUGCCUUAACAAUUUAUUAUUAGUUGGUUAAAAAUUAUAUGAAUGAUAUGAAUUAUAUAAGAUGCUGUUUGUUACCAUAUCUACAUUCAUAAAUGCUAAAUCUAGUUGAAAGUGCAUUUCUUCUAUAGUCUUCAGCAUGUCUAAAAAAGGAUAUUUAUGUAGGUAUGAUUGUUAAAAUGUGAAGUUUACAGCUAAAUUUGUGCACUUUAACCAAACAUUAUGAGUUUUCCAAUCCUGGCAGAGGAGAAUCAUUCAACUGUCUAAACCAUAUCCACGAAUAUUAUUAAACCAUGAUUUCUUUUAA